UCUAGAAUGAAAGGUUGGACAAAGGAAAAACUGUCUUUAUAAUAAAGAUUGAAAUUUACUUUUAAGUGAAAAGGCUUAAAUUAUUCAAAGGGACGAUAAGACCCUAUAAAGCUUUAUAAAUUGUUAUAAAUUUAAUUAAUAUAAAUUAAUAAAAGUUAGAUUUGAUUGUUUUAUUUUGUUGGGGUGACAUGAGUAUAACUUGAAUUAACUGCUUAAAGAACAUACUAUUAUUAAAAGAAUGAAAAAAAUGAUCCUUUAUAGAGAUUAAAAGAUUAAGUUACUUUAGGGAUAACAGCGUAAUUUCUUUUGAGAGUUCUUAUCGAAAAAGAAGAUUGCGACCUCGAUGUUGAAUUAAAAUGUCUUUAUAAUGUAGCCGUUAUAAGAGAAGGUCUGUUCGACCUUUAAAUUUUUACAUGAUUUGAGUU
This 425-nucleotide ribosomal RNA is filed under the name Lybia tessellata. Its description in RNAcentral is "partial 16S ribosomal RNA". The stretch from base 288 to 425 matches the Rfam family "Bacterial large subunit ribosomal RNA", at positions 2473 to 2611 of the family's 2925-position model. Lineage: Eukaryota; Metazoa; Arthropoda; Malacostraca; Decapoda; Xanthidae. The record is from RNAcentral.